Molecule: long non-coding RNA, 1744 nt
Organism: Colias croceus (clouded yellow)
Lineage: Eukaryota; Metazoa; Arthropoda; Insecta; Lepidoptera; Pieridae
Exons: 3
Source: RefSeq, a predicted model, not a curated record
GAUAUCUGUAGUAUAUAUAUUCAGUUCUUCAAACGUUUAAAGAUUUAACGAUGAGUGUACAGACACACGAUUAUCUCUACAAAAUACGUGAAUAUACUGUGGUUUUAAUGAAAUUCAUCAUUUAUUUUGAGAUGGGCUCACUGGACAGUUUUUGGUUUGACUGCCGAAAUGUUUUAAUGAGUGUGCUAUAUUACUUGUAUUACGGGUGCAUACAACAUAGGCUGCGUGCAUAUCGCCCCACGUGCAAGCGAGGUCAAUAGCUCUGCACGCGCGCUCGCUCCCGCCCCCGCCUCACAUUAAACCUUUGUCUACGUACAAUGUUAUGAUGUCAACGUCACUGAAGCUAAUAAUUUGAUUUCAUGAAAUACAAAUUAAUUAAAAAAUUAUUAACAAUCCCUCAUAGCUUGAAAGUGAUGUUCUGGGAUGCCGUUGAUGUCUUUUCUUAAAGUACAUCAGCGCGGACUUCACGUCCAUUGUAUGUGAGGAAGACGCGUUGGCCAGGCUUGAGACGGACGCCAGUCAAGCCUCGGAACCCAGGACCAAUGAGCUCCGCAUCUCUAUAUUCUCUGGGAAGGGUGCUGGCGUUUUCACUGCCUGAAUCAUUCCCGAAUAGUACAGUCCAUCAUCACCGAGCGCAGCUACUCGGGUUCCAAUGAUAGAGCGCUUUGCGAGUCGUUUACCGGUCGACAUUGUUGCUAAGUUCAAAAAACUAUAAUUAUUCAAAUAACACUUCACCAAGUCUUUGAUGACAGUCCACACUGACUUUAUGAAAAUUUCACUCAAGUAUUUCAAAUUGCCCGGCGUACGCGUUUCGCAGGGUAACCGUCACAAAAUUUUGGUAAAUUGUAAGAACUUCGUCGCAAUUCCGUACGUUUUACACGAUCCGGCACCUCAAUAGGCCGAGAGUGUUGACAGCUCUCACGCGGACUCAUAAUAUGAAGGCAGGAUCCGUGUGGAUCGGGACAAAGGAAAAUCCUUCCGCGGCAGUAAACUUUGCACGCAAGCUCGUAACAGACAACCUCAAUAGACACGGUUCAAACGAGAACUGGCGUGCGUGCGAGCGACACCGGCCGGCCGGCGAGCGGGAGCGGCGACCGCCCGUCUCGCUUCUUUGUUUUGAUACUCAGCUGUUUGUGGGAGCGAGAGAGCUUAUUACAGGCCGUGCGAGUGGGCGCGAGCCGGUGUAGUUUAGUUCGGAAAUUUUCGUGUCACAAGCCGUGGCUUUUGUUCGGGCGGGCUCGCUAUUUUCAGAGAGCCGCCCACGGACGACAUUGAGACGCGCCGGCUUGGUUCGCACGUGGACUGGAGGAGUGCUAACGGGAUUGCACAACGCACCGCGACGUCGACUUAGGCCCGCGAGCCUGUAUUCGCUUGCCGGCUAAUACGUGACACAGUUUCUAUUCGGAUUUUGGGUCAAUUCAAAUGUCAAGCAGAUGCACCCCACUUAUGCAACGCUAUUAAAGCGGCCUCGUUACAUCUACGCACAAAUUGAAUAAUUAGAACACGCAACGGACAUAAUUAUCAUUCAAAGAUUUCUAUAAGACAGUAAUAUUCCUGUCAAAUAUACUACCUAAGUAUAUUGUAUUAAAAAAUACAUACUACGCCUUUUUAUUUACAGUUUUAACUUUUAAAUAUAAUUUCUGUUACAACUCUAGAUCGUUACCUAUAAGAUGGAACUCUACAUCGCUAUGAGCUAUAAGCCUAUAAGAUAUAAUCGUAGAAAAUAAAAUAAAGUAAACAGAUA